AGAUACACAUACCAUUUGUCCGUCGCCAGUGACCACAAAAAUCAUCACCAAAGCCAAGAGAGAGAUACACAGUACACGACGCACUCCGGCCGUUCCAUUUCGCUCCGCCCUCCCGCCUUGUCCCGUUGCUCAGCUCCCGCCGGCUCGCCCCGAGCAGUUCGCCGCCGUUGAAGCACACUCCCCGGUCGCUCGCCGCCAUGAAGAAGGUUGUGCUGAAGCUGGACGUGCACGACGACAGGCACAAGGCCAAGGCGCUCAAGGCCGUCUCCGGCCUCCACGGCAUCGACCAGCUGGGCGUGGACAUGAAGGAGCAGAAGAUGACCGUCGUGGGCACCGUCGACCCCGUCGCCGUCGUCGCCAAGCUGCGCAAGCUCUUCCCCGGCGCGCAGAUCGUCUCCGUCGGCCCAGCCAAGGAGGAGAAGAAGGACGACAAGAAAGACGACAAGAAGGACGGCGGCGGGGACAAGAAGGCCGGUGGAGACAAGAAAGAGGCCGACAAGAAGGACGGCGGCGACAAGAAAGACGGAGACAAGAAGGACGGCGGCGACAAGAAGCCGGCCGUGCCGGUGUGCCCGCCCUACUGGUACCCGAUGCCGCCGCAGCCGCGCUACAUCGUCCACAGCGCCGAGGAGGACCCCAACUCGUGCGUCAUCUGCUGAUCGACGCCCACGCGCCGCCGCCGCCGCCCAUCUUCCCCUGUACAUUUCGUCGCUGUCCUGCCUGUCUUCCUCUGCCGCCGCCGCCGCCGCCGCUGCCGGUGGUUGGUGGUUGCUGUACUCAUCAGCCCACCAGACGCAGCGAUCGACGGUGUGCGUUGCACUUACGUAUACCACCGCGUAAUUACCAGUUGCAUUGCAUCGAUAGGUGCUGUUUGGCUUAUUUCUGGGAAGAUGUCGACCGCCGGGAUGCUAGUGGCAGUACUACACCUGCAUGCGUCUGCUGAUCAGUUUGUAGAGUGAGAAGAGCUAUAUAUAAAGAGAAAGAACUUUUGAUGGUAUCUGAAUUUCAGAAAAUGCUGCCCAAAUGGUUUGUUCUCCUGAUGGAAAAAAAGAGAGUGUAAAUCAGCACUAAAACCAUC
Molecule: ribosomal RNA, 1078 nt
Filed under: Triticum aestivum (bread wheat)
Lineage: Eukaryota; Viridiplantae; Streptophyta; Magnoliopsida; Poales; Poaceae
Description: partial small subunit ribosomal RNA
Source: RNAcentral